This 90-nucleotide transfer RNA is filed under the name Pectobacterium phage POP12. Its description in RNAcentral is "tRNA-Ser". It matches the Rfam family "tRNA". Rfam says of the family: Transfer RNA (tRNA) molecules are approximately 80 nucleotides in length. Their secondary structure includes four short double-helical elements and three loops (D, anti-codon, and T loops). The record is from RNAcentral. RNAcentral also lists the same sequence under 1 other name. Lineage: Duplodnaviria; Heunggongvirae; Uroviricota; Caudoviricetes; Pantevenvirales; Straboviridae.
GGAAGAUUGGCAGAGCGGUCAAUUGCGCCUGACUUGAAAUCAGGAGGUCGUGUCAACGGCCCGAGGGUUCGAAUCCUUCAUCUUCCGCCA